CCUACGGGUGGCAGCAGUGGGGAAUAUUGCACAAUGGGCGCAAGCCUGAUGCAGCCAUGCCGCGUGUGUGAAGAAGGCCCUCGGGUUGUAAAGCACUUUCAGCGGGGAGGAAGGCGGUGAGGUUAAUAACCUCAUCGAUUGACGUUACCCGCAGAAGAAGCACCGGCUAACUCCGUGCCAGCAGCCGCGGUAAUACGGAGGGUGCAAGCGUUAAUCGGAAUUACUGGGCGUAAAGCGCACGCAGGCGGUCUGUCAAGUCGGAUGUGAAAUCCCCGGGCUCAACCUGGGAACUGCAUUCGAAACUGGCAGGCUAGAGUCUUGUAGAGGGGGGUAGAAUUCCAGGUGUAGCGGUGAAAUGCGUAGAGAUCUGGAGGAAUACCGGUGGCGAAGGCGGCCCCCUGGACAAAGACUGACGCUCAGGUGCGAAAGCGUGGGGAGCAAACAGGAUUAGAUACCCGGGUAGUC
This 465-nucleotide ribosomal RNA is filed under the name uncultured Klebsiella sp. RNAcentral's name for it is "bacterial SSU rRNA". It matches the Rfam family "Bacterial small subunit ribosomal RNA", at positions 338 to 795 of the family's 1533-position model. Lineage: Bacteria; Pseudomonadati; Pseudomonadota; Gammaproteobacteria; Enterobacterales; Enterobacteriaceae. The record is from RNAcentral.